RNAcentral lists this ribosomal RNA (434 nucleotides) under Acinetobacter johnsonii. RNAcentral describes it as "bacterial SSU rRNA". It matches the Rfam family "Bacterial small subunit ribosomal RNA", at positions 91 to 520 of the family's 1533-position model. Lineage: Bacteria; Pseudomonadati; Pseudomonadota; Gammaproteobacteria; Moraxellales; Moraxellaceae. The record is from RNAcentral.
CCUAGCGGCGGACGGGUGAGUAAUGGCUUAGGAAUCUGCCUAUUAGUGGGGGACAACAUUCCGAAAGGAAUGCUAAUACCGCAUACGCCCUACGGGGGAAAGCAGGGGAUCUUCGGACCUUGCGCUAAUAGAUGAGCCUAAGUCAGAUUAGCUAGUUGGUGGGGUAAAGGCCUACCAAGGCGACGAUCUGUAGCGGGUCUGAGAGGAUGAUCCGCCACACUGGGACUGAGACACGGCCCAGACUCCUACGGGAGGCAGCAGUGGGGAAUAUUGGACAAUGGGCGAAAGCCUGAUCCAGCCAUGCCGCGUGUGUGAAGAAGGCCUUUUGGUUGUAAAGCACUUUAAGCGAGGAGGAGGCUACUUGAUUAAUACUCUAGGAUAGUGGACGUUACUCGCAGAAUAAGCACCGGCUAACUCUGUGCCAGCAGCCGCGG